Molecule: ribosomal RNA, 460 nt
Filed under: uncultured bacterium
Lineage: Bacteria
Description: partial 16S ribosomal RNA
Rfam family: Bacterial small subunit ribosomal RNA
Source: RNAcentral
CCUACGGGAGGCAGCAGUGAGGAAUAUUGGUCAAUGGGCGCGAGCCUGAACCAGCCAAGUAGCGUGAAGGAUGACUGCCCUACGGGUUGUAAACUUCUUUUAUAAAGGAAUAAAGUGAGGCACGUGUGCCUUUUUGUAUGUACUUUAUGCAUAAGGAUCGGCUAACUCCGUGCCAGCAGCCGCGGUAAGACGGAGGAUCCGAGCGUUAUCCGGAUUUAUUGGGUUUAAAGGGAACGUAGCAGGGUUGUUAAGUAAGUUUUGAAAGUUUGCGGCUCAACCGUAAAAUUGCAAUUGAUACUGGCAGCCUUGAGUACAGGUGAGGUAGGCGGAAUUCGUGGUGUAGCGGUGAAAUGCUUAGAUAUCACGAAGAACUCCGAUUGCGAAGGCAGCUUACUAAACUGCCACUGACAUUGAUGCUCGAAAGUGUGGGUAUCAAACAGGAUUAGAUACCCUUGUAGUC